UGCCGGUGGGCCCGCUGGCCGCGGGACGCCUGCUGGAACCGGGCAGCCCGGUGUUCGGCGUCGCCGUCCGCCGCCC
Molecule: transfer RNA, 76 nt
Filed under: Lentzea flava
Lineage: Bacteria; Bacillati; Actinomycetota; Actinomycetes; Pseudonocardiales; Pseudonocardiaceae
Description: tRNA-Ser
Source: RNAcentral